UACAGAGGUGGCAAGCGUUGUUCGGAAUCACUGGGCGUAAAGCGCACGUAGGCGGCUUGUUAAGUCAGGGGUGAAAUCCUGGAGCUCAACUCCAGAACUGCCUUUGAUACUGGCGAGCUUGAGUUCGGGAGAGGUGAGUGGAACUGCGAGUGUAGAGGUGAAAUUCGUAGAUAUUCGCAAGAACACCAGUGGCGAAGGCGGCUCACUGGCCCGAUACUGACGCUGAGGUGCGAAAGCGUGGGGAGCAAACAGG
This 253-nucleotide ribosomal RNA is filed under the name uncultured bacterium. RNAcentral's name for it is "partial 16S ribosomal RNA". It matches the Rfam family "Bacterial small subunit ribosomal RNA", at positions 524 to 776 of the family's 1533-position model. The record is from RNAcentral.